AUGUAUCGCGCCGCUGGGAGCCAUCUCCGCUCUCUCAAGAAUCAUGGUGCUAGUAGGUUUGCUAGCACAAGUGUAGUGAAGCAAUCUUCAGGUGGUCUGUUUAGCUGGCUUCUUGGCGGAGGCUCAAGCCAACUACCCCCUCUUGAUGUUCCGCUCCCAGGCAUUACAAUUCCUCCACCCCUACCAGAUUUUGUUGAGCAAUCCAAGACAAAAAUCACUACUCUUCCAAAUGGCAUCAAGAUUGCAUCUGAGACAUCACCGGGCGCGGCUGCAUCAGUGGGUUUGUACAUUGACUGUGGUUCUAUUUAUGAAACACCUGCUUCAUCUGGAGCAUCGCAUCUAUUAGAGAGAAUGGCCUUCAGGAGCACAGCAAAUCGGAGUCACUUGCGGCUAGUUCGUGAGGUGGAAGCCAUCGGAGGAAAUGUCUCUGCAUCUGCUUCUCGUGAACAAAUGAGCUAUACCUAUGACGCACUGAAGAGUUAUGCACCAGAGAUGGUUGAAGUUCUCGUUGACAGUGUGAGGAAUCCAGCAUUCUUAGAGUGGGAGGUCAAAGAGCAGCUCCAGAAGAUAAAGUCUGAAAUAUCUGAAGUGUCUAGUAAUCCACAAGGUCUGCUUUUGGAGGCACUUCAUUCGGCUGGGUAUUCUGGGGCACUGGCGAAACCUCUGAUGGCUACAGAAUCUGCUAUAAGGAGAUUGGAUAUUAGUACCCUGGAGGAAUUCAUUCAUGAAAAUUACACUGCUCCCAGGAUGGUUCUUGCAGCAUCAGGACUUGAACAUGAUGAGUUGGUUUCGAUUGCGGAACCACUGCUCUCAGACCUUCCUGGUGUGAAACGUCAUGAAGAGCCAAAAUCGGUGUAUGUGGGAGGGGACUAUCGUUGCCAAGCAGAUUCUCCAAAUACGCACAUUGCACUUGCUUUUGAGGUGCCAGGUGGCUGGCGCCAAGAGAAAACUGCAAUGAUUGUGACUGUGCUUCAGAUGCUCAUGGGAGGAGGGGGGUCUUUCUCUGUUGGUGGCCCUGGGAAGGGAAUGCAUUCUCGAUUGUAUCUCCGUGUCUUGAACAAGUAUGACCAGAUCGAGUCAUUCUCUGCUUUCAACAGUAUCUACAAUGAUUCAGGUCUUUUUGGAAUUCAUGCAGCCACUAGCCCAGAUUUUGCAUCAACGGCCGUGGAUUUGGCAGCAGGGGAACUCCUUGAAGUUGCAACCCCUGGAAAAGUUACUCAAGAACAGCUUGAUCGUGCUAAAGAGGCUACCAAGGCUGCAGUUCUGAUGAACUUGGAAUCAAGAAUUGUGGCAUCUGAAGAUAUUGGAAGACAGGUUCUGACUUAUGGGCAAAGGAAGCCUGUUGAGUACUUCGUGAGAGCCGUUGAGGCGACCACCCUGAACGACAUCUCUACGGUUGCACAGAAGAUAAUCUCUUCACCGCUUACAUUGGCAUCAUGGGGCGACGUUAUCCACGUCCCGAGCUACGAGUCGGUCAGCCGGAAGUUCCUCUCCAAGUGA
Molecule: ribosomal RNA, 1500 nt
Filed under: Triticum aestivum (bread wheat)
Lineage: Eukaryota; Viridiplantae; Streptophyta; Magnoliopsida; Poales; Poaceae
Description: partial small subunit ribosomal RNA
Source: RNAcentral